Molecule: ribosomal RNA, 253 nt
Filed under: uncultured Phycisphaeraceae bacterium
Lineage: Bacteria; Pseudomonadati; Planctomycetota; Phycisphaerae; Phycisphaerales; Phycisphaeraceae
Description: partial 16S ribosomal RNA
Rfam family: Bacterial small subunit ribosomal RNA
Source: RNAcentral
UACAGAGGUCUCAAGCGUUAAUCGGUAUCACUGGGCUUAAAGGGUGCGUAGGCGGGUCCGCAAGUGCUUUGUGAAAUCCCACGGCUCAACCGUGGAACUGCUUGGCAGACUGCGGGUCUUGAGGUCGGUAGGGGCUGCCGGAACUCUAGGUGUAGCGGUGAAAUGCGUAGAUAUCUAGAGGAACGCCGAAGGUGAAGACAGGCAGCUGGGCCGAUUCUGACGCUGAGGCACGAAAGCGUGGGUAGCGAACGGG